UGUUAUAUACAUAUGACCCUGCAGCCCAAGACCGAUUACUAACUGAAGCUAAGCAGUGCUGAGCCUGGUUAGUACCUGGAUGGGAGACCACAUGGGAGCACUAGGUUGUUGUUGGAA
RNAcentral lists this ribosomal RNA (117 nucleotides) under Danio rerio (zebrafish). Lineage: Eukaryota; Metazoa; Chordata; Actinopteri; Cypriniformes; Danionidae. The record is from RNAcentral.